This 65-nucleotide transfer RNA is filed under the name Tropidia scita. Its description in RNAcentral is "tRNA-Leu". The record is from RNAcentral. Lineage: Eukaryota; Metazoa; Arthropoda; Insecta; Diptera; Syrphidae.
ACUAUUUUGGCAGAUUAAUGUGAUAAAUUUAGAAUUUAUAGAUGUAAUUUAUAUUACAAAUAGUA